RNAcentral lists this ribosomal RNA (459 nucleotides) under uncultured bacterium. Its description in RNAcentral is "partial 16S ribosomal RNA". It matches the Rfam family "Bacterial small subunit ribosomal RNA", at positions 338 to 795 of the family's 1533-position model. The record is from RNAcentral.
CCUACGGGAGGCAGCAGUGAGGAAUAUUGGUCAAUGGGCGCGAGCCUGAACCAGCCAAGUCGCGUGAAGGAAGACGGUCCUAUGGAUUGUAAACCUCUUUUGUCGGGGAGCAAAAGACGCCACGCGUGGCGUUCCGAGAGUACCCGAAGAAAAAGCAUCGGCUAACUCCGUGCCAGCAGCCGCGGUAAUACGGAGGAUGCGAGCGUUAUCCGGAUUUAUUGGGUUUAAAGGGUGCGCAGGCGGAAGAUCAAGCCAGCGGUAAAAUUGAGGGGCUCAACCUCUUCGAGCCGUUGAAACUGGUUUGCUUGAGUGAGCGAGAAGUAUGCGGAAUGCGUGGUGUAGCGGUGAAAUGCAUAGAUAUCACGCAGAACUCCGAUUGCGAAGGCAGCAUACCGGCGCUCAACUGACGCUCAUGCACGAAAGUGUGGGUAUCGAACAGGAUUAGAUACCCGUGUAGUC